Long non-coding RNA from Harmonia axyridis, 1474 nucleotides. RefSeq lists it as uncharacterized. The record is from RefSeq and is a predicted model, not a curated record. The transcript has 3 exons. NCBI's taxonomy places the organism in Eukaryota, Metazoa, Arthropoda, Insecta, Coleoptera, Coccinellidae.
AAUGACAAGUAUGACAUUGCGGCGCCGCCACGAACUAAAACUAAUAUUUUCAAUUUGGUGGAAUAUCAUUGCAUUCAAAAUUUGACGAGUGCAUUCACCAUGUUUUUAGACAUCUUAGUUGUGGACUAAAUUGAUUUCAGUGAUUUUUUUGUGUUUAUCUGUUAAUACUCAUUUGAACUGUGUUUUAAAAUAUUAGCAAAUUUAAUUGCUCUGUGAUAUUCCUGAUUCCUGUUAGUACGGAAAUAACGUUCAACAUGAAUGAAGUCAACGAUAAUCUGACCUGUGACAUUUGCAAAACGAAAUUCUCCAGCGUGUGGGUGAAAAAUCGUCAUUUAAAAGAUAUUGACCAUGUAGAAGCGAAAAAAUCAGAAAGCAGAAAAUCAACAGUUCAUAUGAAGUGUCCUAUUUGCCCGAAGAACUGUGGAAAAUGACGAAUUGGAAAGGAUUAAUGUACUUACCAGAGGAGAUCUUGCCUAUUUGAUUAGAAAAUUCAACAUUGAUAAAAGAAGACAUGAUGAUGAUAUGGUAGAAAUAGCAUUAAAAGUUAAGGAAUGGAAUAGUGAAGGAAAAAAUGAUGUUUUUCUAUUUAAACAAAUAGGAGAAGCCUAUGUCAGAUUGAAGGAUGAAGAUUUUGCUUUAGAUAUAUGAAUGACAACAUGGAAAGAAAGCUGAAAUGGUUCAAAAAAAUUAUAUGCAUAGAUGGGACACAUGGAACCAAUGCAAGAAACUAUGAUCUUACCAUAGUUCUAAUUCUAGGUCCCCACCUCUUAGGAAAAAAAAUGCUUGUUGUGACCUUUUUAUUUGAGGAUUCAGAUCAGUAUAAUGUUGUUUUCAGUUAUGUACAUAGAUUUUGCUAAAAGAGAACUUAUUUAAACGUAAACCUCUCAUUCAAUGCAACUAGUAUCUUUCAAAAUGUUGGAUGUGAAUAAUUUUAAAUAUAUAUGAAGCUAUGGAGUUGGCGCUUCUGAGAUUUUUGUGAGUAACAAAAGUAAUUUAAUAGAUAAUUAAUUUCAAGAAUGCUUGGUGAAGGUGGAAUACAAGAAUUGCAAUAACUCCAUAAGAAAUUAAGGUUUUUCUCAAUAUAUAUAAUCUGACUAACAAUUUUUUUAGCAAUUCUGAAAAAAUUUGAACUACUACAUGCUGCGAUUACUGGCUACAGCUCUAGGAAUGUGGCAAAACUUAUUUUUCAUUUGAAAAACAAAAACAGAUUCAACUACCAAAAAUUGAAACCCUUAGAAAAUCGAAAUGUAAAUAUAUUAAUUUCUAGAUUCUCAUUAUCACUAGUUGGUGGCAUUUCUAUUUUGAAUUCUCAAAAAUGUUUUACAAAUGCACUAAUUAUUUUUUGUAUUCACUCGCUUAUUAACAAAGUGCCCCAAUGUUCAAUAAUUAAUAAUUUCAAUACAUGUUAGUGAUUUCUAAUUUUUUUUUCUAGUAUUUUGAAUUUUCUGCUUCGAAAAUAUAUAUAUUUAUAUAA